This 497-nucleotide ribosomal RNA is filed under the name uncultured bacterium. RNAcentral's name for it is "partial 16S ribosomal RNA". It matches the Rfam family "Bacterial small subunit ribosomal RNA", at positions 28 to 507 of the family's 1533-position model. The record is from RNAcentral.
GAUGAGCGCUGGCGGCGUGCCUAAUACAUGCAAGUCGAGCGAACAGACGAGGAGCUUGCUCCUCUGACGUUAGCGGCGGACGGGUGAGUAACACGUGGAUAACCUACCUAUAAGACUGGGAUAACUUCGGGAAACCGGAGCUAAUACCGGAUAAUAUAUUGAACCGCAUGGUUCAAUAGUGAAAGACGGUUUUGCUGUCACUUAUAGAUGGAUCCGCGCCGCAUUAGCUAGUUGGUAAGGUAACGGCUUACCAAGGCAACGAUGCGUAGCCGACCUGAGAGGGUGAUAGGCCACACUGGAACUGAGACACGGUCCAGACUCCUACGGGAGGCAGCAGUAGGGAAUCUUCCGCAAUGGGCGAAAGCCUGACGGAGCAACGCCGCGUGAGUGAUGAAGGUCUUCGGAUCGUAAAACUCUGUUAUUAGGGAAGAACAAAUGUGUAAGUAACUAUGCACGUCUUGACGGUACCUAAUCAGAAAGCCACGGCUAACUACGUG